Molecule: non-coding RNA, 399 nt
Organism: Vicia faba (fava bean)
Lineage: Eukaryota; Viridiplantae; Streptophyta; Magnoliopsida; Fabales; Fabaceae
Source: the annotation of a GenBank genome assembly
UCACACAUUAAAAAUAAUGUAAAAUUAUUUCAAUUACCAUCAAAACCAUUGCAAAUUCAAACCAUUACACCAAUAAUCCACAAAAGAAACCAUUACAAAUCUAUAUUACAUCAUUACAUAGAAACUUUACAAAGGUAUACACUUGAGUCGCAACCCGUGUCCAAUCUUCAUGACCAAGCCCCUCUUGUUAACCUUCAGGAUAUGCUAAAGGCCUUUAAAAAUCUUCUCCAUAUCCUCUUCAAAACAUUCUGCAAGCUUCAAACAACAUCAUGCCCUGGCAAAUCCAUGUAUCAGAUCCGCCCUAUCCAAACAAAGAUAACCUGCAUCCAUAAAACAUUUCCAAACCUGCAUAGAAACCAAAAAACUAUAAUAACCAGACAUGAAUCUAACAAAAAAUAA